ACAAGUGUGGGUGAGGAUGCCAGACCAGCUGUUUAUUAGACCUGCAUGAAGAAGUGAUUUAUUGGGUUUACGGUAGGCAUUUCAGAGAUGCCAAACACAGCUCAUAACCAGAGAGGACCAAGAUGCUGUGAUCCCUCUAGCCUCUUGGAGAUAAAGACACAUGUAGAUGCUGAAAUCUGUAGAAACUAACAGUCUGCUGGAUGGUCUCAGAUGAUCAAGUGGUAUCAAUGAAGGGAAAGGAACUUCAGCAUUUCACAUUGAUUCACUGAGUUUCUCCAACAGAUCAAGAAAAAGACGAAUAAGUAAAGGCUGCAAAUGCCAUGGCUGCAGAAGCUUCAAUUUCUACAUGAUGUUUGAGAUUAACCAAAUUAUCCACCUGGUUUAAGUGCUGCUGGAGAAACUGAGCAAAGGAGGAACUUUAGAUCCCACGCCACCAGGUUCAGAACCCUGCAAUCAUCAGGCUCCUGACUUUCACUCAUCUCAACACUGAACUCCUUCCUCAACCUAGGAUUGUACAAGGAUUCCACAACUCAGGUACUCAGUAUUUAUUCAUUUUUUUUGUAUUUGCACAGCUUGUCUUCUUUUGCACAUGGGUUGUUUGUGUUUCUCUCUGUGUAGUUCUUCAUUGAUUCCAUUGUAUAUCUUUGUUCUACUGUGAAUGCUGCAAGAAAAUGGACCUCAAGGUAGUGUAUCAGUACUGGUGAUGCAAAAAGACUAAAUAAACUUGUUAAAGAGGCUGGACCCUUGGCUACAAUCUGGCCUCUUUUGAGUUAGUGGUGGAGAGGAGGUCACUAAACAAACUGUUAUCCAUUAUGGACAAUCUGGCACAUCCUCUCCAUGACCUACUGAAUAAGCAGCUGAGCACCCUUUUGAACAGAGUCAUUCAGCUCCGCUAUCACAAGGAUUGUUUCAGAAAAACUUUCCUAGCAAAUGUAACAAACAUAUGCAAUAGUUCAUCUCUGUGUGACAGGA
Hypanus sabinus (Atlantic stingray) is the source of this 972-nucleotide long non-coding RNA. RefSeq lists it as uncharacterized. NCBI's taxonomy places the organism in Eukaryota, Metazoa, Chordata, Chondrichthyes, Myliobatiformes, Dasyatidae. The transcript is spliced from 3 exons. The record is from RefSeq and is a predicted model, not a curated record.